Molecule: ribosomal RNA, 474 nt
Filed under: uncultured bacterium
Lineage: Bacteria
Description: SSU rRNA
Rfam family: Bacterial small subunit ribosomal RNA
Source: RNAcentral
AGAACGAACGCUGGCGGCAUGCCUAACACAUGCAAGUCGAACGCUCUUGGGGCUUCGGUCUCAGGGGAGUGGCGCACGGGUGAGUAGCGCGUGGGAACCUGCCCUGUUGUGGGGGAUAACCGAGGGAAACUUCGGUUAAUACCGCAUAAGCCGGUUGUCUUGAAGGAGAUGGCCGGGAAAGAUUUAUCGCGACAGGAGGGGCCCGCGUCGGAUUAGCUAGUUGGUGGGGUAACGGCCCACCAAGGCGGUGAUCCGUAGCUGGUCUGAGAGGAUGAUCAGCCACACUGGGACUGAGACACGGCCCAGACUCCUACGGGAGGCAGCAGUGGGGAAUAUUGGACAAUGGGCGCAAGCCUGAUCCAGCAAUGCCGCGUGAGUGAUGAAGGCCUUAGGGUUGUAAAGCUCUUUCGCCCGCGACGAUGAUGACGGUAGCGGGAGAAGAGCCCGGCUAACUCGCGCCAGCAGCCGCGGUAA